ACGCCCGCUACAGAAACUACAAAGGAAGUUGACGGGGCCCGGCACAAGCGGUGGAGCAUGUGGCUUAAUUCGAAGCAACGCGAAGAACCUUACCAGGCCUUGACAUGCAGAGAACUUUCCAGAGAUGGAUUGGUGCCUUCGGGAACUCUGACACAGGUGCUGCAUGGCUGUCGUCAGCUCGCGUCGUGAGAUGUUGGGUUAAGUCCCGUAACGAGCGCAACCCUUGUCCUUAGUUACCAGCACGUUAUGGUGGGCACUCUAAGGAGACUGCCGGUGACAAACCGGAGGAAGGUGGGGAUGACGUCAAGUCAUCACGGCCCUUACGGCCUGGGCUACACACGUGCUACAAUGGUCGGUACAAAGGGUUGCCAAGCCGCGAGGUGGAGCUAAUCCCAUAAAACCGAUCGUAGUCCGGAUCGCAGUCUGCAACUCGACUGCGUGAAGUCGGAAUCGCUAGUAAUCGUGAAUCAGAAUGUCACGGUGAAUACGUUCCCGGGCCUU
RNAcentral lists this ribosomal RNA (501 nucleotides) under uncultured Pseudomonas sp. Its description in RNAcentral is "bacterial SSU rRNA". It matches the Rfam family "Bacterial small subunit ribosomal RNA", at positions 903 to 1382 of the family's 1533-position model. The record is from RNAcentral. Lineage: Bacteria; Pseudomonadati; Pseudomonadota; Gammaproteobacteria; Pseudomonadales; Pseudomonadaceae.